This 370-nucleotide ribosomal RNA is filed under the name uncultured bacterium. Its description in RNAcentral is "bacterial SSU rRNA". It matches the Rfam family "Bacterial small subunit ribosomal RNA", at positions 28 to 384 of the family's 1533-position model. The record is from RNAcentral.
GACGAACGCUGGCGGCGUGCUUAAUACAUGCAAGUCAACUUGACUUUAGAUAGCAAUAUCGAAAAGUAGGGUGGCGCACGGGUGCGUAACGCGUAGGGUAAUCUGCCCUGAGGUCUGACAUAACCCGUCGAAAGGCGGGCUAACAUCAGAUGAUAUAUAAUCACGACAUCGUGGAAAUAUCAAAUCUUCGGAGCCUUGGGAUGAGCCUGCGUCUGAUUAGGUAGUUGGCGGAGUAAUAGCCCACCAAGCCUACGAUCAGUAGCUGGUCUGAGAGGAUGAUCAGCCACACUGGAACUGAGACACGGUCCAGACCUCCGUACGGGAGGCAGCAAGGUAAGGAAUUAUUGCUACAAGGUACGGGGGAAACCCU